Molecule: long non-coding RNA, 236 nt
Filed under: Elaeis guineensis (African oil palm)
Lineage: Eukaryota; Viridiplantae; Streptophyta; Magnoliopsida; Arecales; Arecaceae
Description: long non-coding RNA (EGUI_LNC006796)
Source: RNAcentral
CUUCCUUCUCGGUUUCACGGAUGCCCUGUGCUGCUUCGGUUGGUAAGGAGGUAUUCAUCUUGAUUUUUUGCCGAGGGUUGAGAAAGGUAUCUUCACCUCAGGUAUUAUUUUACCUUGAUCUAUUGCCGAGGCUGAGAUUGGUAGAUCCAAUUGGAUCUUGGUUGCCUUCUAUUCGAUACUCUGUUGCCUUCUUGUUGGUUUCGGAUAAAGGUAUUUUAUACCUCAUAUUGUACCUA